Molecule: ribosomal RNA, 300 nt
Filed under: Triticum aestivum (bread wheat)
Lineage: Eukaryota; Viridiplantae; Streptophyta; Magnoliopsida; Poales; Poaceae
Description: partial small subunit ribosomal RNA
Source: RNAcentral
AUGUUUGACGGAGAUGAGCGGAUGUUUCGGGGUGUCAGGCAUGUGCCAGGGCUAAGGAGGAAUCUAUCACUUGGUGUUCUUCAUGAUGGUGGUAUGGAAUUCCGUUCUGACUGGGAUAAGAAGGCCAUGAAAAUCAUGGAAGAUGGGGUGACUAUGAUGAUAGGAGAGAGGAUGGCUUCACAUCUUUACAAGUUGCAAGGGAGCACUAUUGCAGGUGGAGCCAUGGGAAGUGGAGCUGCAAGAGUAGCAGUGGAGUCUCACGGUGGCGGCGGGUCUGGCCCGUCGGGUAGCUCUCAGUAA